GCGGCCAUCUUGGUUGGUUGACCAGGUCACGCCACACAUUUUUAAAACUAUAUACCCCAAAGAUGAUUGUGGCCAAGUUUGGAUUAAUUUGGUCCAGUAGUUUCAGAGGAGAAGAUUUUUGUAAAAGAUUACUUUAAUUAACGAAAAAUGGUUAAAAAUUGACUAUAAAGGGCAAUAACUCCUAAACGGGUCAACUGACCAUUUUGGUCAUGUUGAUUUAUUUGUAGAUCUUACUUUGCUGAACAUUAUUGCUGUUUACAGUUUAUCUCUAUCUAUAAUAAUAUUCAAGAUAAUAACCAAAAACAGCAAAAUUUCCACAAAAUUACCAAUUCAGGGGCAGCAACCCAACAACCGAUUGACCGAUUCAUCUGAAAAUUUCAGGGCAGAUAGAUCUUGACCUGAUAAACAUUUUUACCCCUGUCAGAUUUGCUCUAAAUGCUUUGGUUUUUGAGUUAUAAGCCAAAAACUGCAUUUUACCCCUAUGUUCUAUUUUUAGCCGUGGCGGCCAUCUUG
This 513-nucleotide long non-coding RNA is filed under the name Mytilus galloprovincialis (Mediterranean mussel). The record is from RNAcentral. Lineage: Eukaryota; Metazoa; Mollusca; Bivalvia; Mytilida; Mytilidae.